Molecule: ribosomal RNA, 497 nt
Filed under: uncultured bacterium
Lineage: Bacteria
Description: partial 16S ribosomal RNA
Rfam family: Bacterial small subunit ribosomal RNA
Source: RNAcentral
GAUGAACGCUGGCGGCGUGCCUAAUACAUGCAAGUCGAGCGAACAGAUGAGGAGCUUGCUCCUCUGACGUUAGCGGCGGACGGGUGAGUAACACGUGGAUAACCUACCUAUAAGACUGGGAUAACUUCGGGAAACCGGAGCUAAUACCGGAUAAUAUAUUGAACCGCAUGGUUCAAUAGUGAAAGACGGUUUUGCUGUCACUUAUAGAUGGAUCCGCGCCGCAUUAGCUAGUUGGUAAGGUAACGGCUUACCAAGGCAACGAUGCGUAGCCGACCUGAGAGGGUGAUCGGACACACUGGAACUGAGACACGGUCCAGACUCCUACGGGAGGCAGCAGUAGGGAAUCUUCCGCAAUGGGCGAAAGCCUGCCGGAGCAACGCCGCGUUAGUGAUGAAGGUCUUCGGAUCGUAAAACUCUGUUAUUAGGGAAGAACAAAUGUGUAAGUAACUAUGCACGUCUUGACGGUACCUAAUCAGAAAGCCACUGCUAACUACGUG